GGCCUGUCUAACGAAGUAAGUAACGCAAGCAAGGAGUUGCUUUGCUACACCUAUAUUGCGUAGCUAGGCCUGGUUAGCAAAAGAUCGAAGGCGGUGGCACAGAAUCGGAGGCCCCGACUGUUUACUAAAAACACAACACAGUGCAAUCAUUAAUAUGAUAGUAUACUGUGUGAAAUUUGCCCGAUGCCAUUAAUAUAAGAGCGGUCAUGGGGAACUGUGACUAAUCGAAAAUCUGGUUAAUAGCGGUCUUAACUAUGAGGAUCCUAAGGUAGCAAAAUCAAUUGGCCGUUAAAUGCGGUCCGGUAUCAAUAAUGUAACGAUGGCCUCACUGUCUCUACAACUUGCUCAGUGAAAUUGAAUUACGCGUGCAGAUGCGCGUUGCCUCCAGGGGGACGGGAAGACCCUAUGCAGCUUCU
This 416-nucleotide ribosomal RNA is filed under the name Volvariella volvacea. Its description in RNAcentral is "LSU rRNA". It matches the Rfam family "Bacterial large subunit ribosomal RNA", at positions 1749 to 2103 of the family's 2925-position model. Lineage: Eukaryota; Fungi; Basidiomycota; Agaricomycetes; Agaricales; Pluteaceae. The record is from RNAcentral.